This 536-nucleotide non-coding RNA is filed under the name unclassified sequences. The record is from Rfam.
UAUUUGAAUAAUCUCUAUGGCCAACUCGAUGAACAAAGCAUGCCAGUGCUUCGAGGCGCAUGGUACCUCUGGCCUUUAAUACAAGGAUACCUGUAAGAUAAGGUCACACGAAAACAGUGAUGUUUAGUGGAAGGCGGAACCGCCAACGGGAACAUGUGUCGCAGAACUGUCUGCAUUGAAAGGUUUGGAUCUUCCGGGUGCAACAAUAGACGCUCGCUGUGCGAAAAUAACCCUAAGGGAUGCCAGCUUGGCCGCUGGUACGACAGAGGGAUUGCCUCUAAUGCAUCUUGCCUUGAAUCAGAGAAAUCUGAGUAUAACGGAAGCGUCCAGAAAGAGUAGCCGAAUGGCAAUUCUACAAUCAAAUUCUGAAUGGCUGGUGAAUUUGCAGGUAACCAUUCCUGUACAGGGUUUGGCGAAAGCUGGGGCAAGAAGUCUAUGAUCGACGGGUUGUAGGCUCAGACUUGUCUCCCUGUUGACCGAAUAUCAAUGGAGGACAGCAAUGUGCGGCGAAGGCCGGGCCAUAGGGAUUAUUCAAG